UGGGGAAUAUUGGGCAAUGGGCGCAAGCCUGACCCAGCCAUGCCGCGUGAGUGAUGAAGGCCUUCGGGUCGUAAAGCUCUGUGGGGAGGGACGAACGUCCGGGCGAUUAAUACUCGCCCGGGGUGACGGUACUUCCUUAGCAAGCACCGGCUAACUCCGUGCCAGCAGCCGCGGUAAUACGGAGGGUGCAAACGUUGCUCGGAAUUAUUGGGCGUAAAGCGCACGUAGGCGGUUCGUUAAGUCGGGUGUGAAAGCCCUGGGCUCAACCCAGGAAGUGCAUUCGAAACUGGCGAGCUUGAGUACGGAAGAGGGUCUCGGAAUUCCCGGUGUAGAGGUGAAAUUCGUAGAUAUCGGGAGGAACACCAGUGGCGAAGGCGGAGACCUGGGCCGAUACUGACGCUGAUGUGCGAAAGCGUGGGGAGCAAACAGGAUUAGAUACCCCGGUAGUCC
RNAcentral lists this ribosomal RNA (450 nucleotides) under uncultured bacterium. RNAcentral describes it as "bacterial SSU rRNA". It matches the Rfam family "Bacterial small subunit ribosomal RNA", at positions 355 to 796 of the family's 1533-position model. The record is from RNAcentral.